UUCGUAGGUGGUGCGGCAAGUUGGAAGUGAAAUCUCUGGGCUUAACCCAGAGGCUGCUUUCAAAACUGCCGCGCUCGAGUGCGAGAGAGGUCAGUGGAAUUGCAGGUGUAGCGGUGAAAUGCGUAGAUAUCUGCAGGAACACCCGUGGCGAAGGCGGCUGACUGGAUCGCAACUGACACUGAGGGAACGAAAGCUAGGGGAGCAAACAGGAUUAGAUACCCUGGUAGUCCUAGCCCUAAACCAUCGGAACUUGGGGUGGCCCGCGUAGGCGGGUCGUCCCGUAGCUAACGCGUUAAGUUCCGCGCCUGGGGAGUACGGUCGCAAGACUGAA
This 331-nucleotide ribosomal RNA is filed under the name uncultured bacterium. RNAcentral's name for it is "bacterial SSU rRNA". It matches the Rfam family "Bacterial small subunit ribosomal RNA", at positions 568 to 898 of the family's 1533-position model. The record is from RNAcentral.